GAAGCUUAUGUGGACGGGAAGGGCAGGCCAUUUAAAAAUAUCCGAAUCAAACACACUUACAUAUUGGACGACCCUUUUGAUGAUCCUCCCCAACUAAGCGAAUUGGUUCCAGAUGCUUCACCUGAAGGAAAGCCAAAAGAUGAGGUUGAAGAUGAUGUACGACUAGAAGAUGAUUGGGUGCCUAUGGAUGAGCAACUAGGCAUGCAAGAACUUGAGGAGGUUCUGCGUGCAAAAGAAGCACAUUCGCGAGCAGUAGUACUUGAAAGUGUAGGGGAUAUUCCUGAUGCUGAGAUAAAGCCGCCUGACAAUGUGCUUUUUGUAUGUAAAUUGAAUCCAGUUACUGAAGAUGAAGAUCUGUAUACAAUCUUUUCACGCUUUGGUACCGUGACAUCUGCUGAAAUAAUUAGGGACUUCAAGACUGGGGAUAGCCUCUGCUAUGCUUUCAUUGAGU
RNAcentral lists this unclassified non-coding RNA (451 nucleotides) under Hevea brasiliensis (rubber tree). The record is from RNAcentral. Lineage: Eukaryota; Viridiplantae; Streptophyta; Magnoliopsida; Malpighiales; Euphorbiaceae.